Leptopilina boulardi is the source of this 1964-nucleotide long non-coding RNA. RefSeq lists it as uncharacterized. The record is from RefSeq and is a predicted model, not a curated record. NCBI's taxonomy places the organism in Eukaryota, Metazoa, Arthropoda, Insecta, Hymenoptera, Figitidae. The transcript is spliced from 3 exons.
CUCUACUCGUAUUUGGCUGUCAAUUUUUUUCUACACUUUUAUGUGUAUUUUGUGCAAGAAAAUGCAAUAAAAUAGUCCGCCUAAGAAAAAUUGAGUUAUAUUGGGAACUUUUUUAUAAUUUUGGUUUUUUUGGUAAAAUGACUUUUAGGUGGUAAUAGGUGUCUUCCUCUACUCGUAUUUGGCUGUCAAUUUUUUUCUACACUUUUAGGUGUAUUUUGUGCAAGAAAAUGCAAUAAAAUAGUCCGCCUAAGAAAAAUUGAAUUAUAUUGGGAACUUUUUUAUAAUUUUGGAUUUAUGGGUAAAAUGACUUUUAGGUGGUAAUAGGUGUCUUCCUCUACUCGUAUUUGGCUGUCAACUUUUUUCUACACUUUUAGGUGUAUUUUGUGCAAGAAAAUGCAAUAAAAUAGUCCGCCUAAGAAAAAUUGAAUUAUAUUGGGAACUUUUUUAUAAUUUUGGAUUUAUGGGUAAAAUGACUUUUAGGUGGUAAUAGGUGUCUUCCUCUACUCGUAUUUGGCUGUCAACUUUUUUCUACACUUUUAGGUGUAUUUUGUGCAAGAAAAUGCAAUAAAAUAGUCCGCCUAAGAAAAAUUGAAUUAUAUUGGGAACUUUUUUAUAAUUUUGGUUUUUUUGGUAAAAUGACUUUUAGGUGGUAAUAGGUGUCUUCCUCUACUCGUAUUUGGCUGUCAAUUUUUUUCUACACUUUUAGGUGUAUUUUGUGCAAGAAAAUGCAAUAAAAUAGUCCGCCUAAGAAAAAUUGAAUUAUAUUGGGAACUUUUUUAUAAUUUUGGAUUUAUGGGUAAAAUGACUUUUAGGUGGUAAUAGGUGUCUUCCUCUACUCGUAUUUGGCUGUCAACUUUUUUCUACACUUUUAGGUGUAUUUUGUGCAAGAAAAUGCAAUAAAAUAGUCCGCCUAAGAAAAAUUGAAUUAUAUUGGGAACUUUUUUAUAAUUUUGGAUUUAUGGGUAAAAUGACUUUUAGGUGGUAAUAGGUGUCUUCCUCUACUCGUAUUUGGCUGUCAACUUUUUUCUACACUUUUAGGUGUAUUUUGUGCAAGAAAAUGCAAUAAAAUAGUCCGCCUAAGAAAAAUUGAAUUAUAUUGGGAACUUUUUUAUAAUUUUGGAUUUAUGGGUAAAAUGACUUUUAGGUGGUAAUAGGUGUCUUCCUCUACUCGUAUUUGGCUGUCAAUUUUUUUCUACACUUUUAGGUGUAUUUUGUGCAAGAAAAUGCAAUAAAAUAGUCCGCCUAAGAAAAAUUGAAUUAUAUUGGGAACUUUUUUUUAAUUUUGGUUUUUUUGGUAAAAUGACUUUUAGGUGGUAAUAGGUGUCUUCCUCUACUCGUAUUUGGCUGUCAAUUUUUUUCUACACUUUUAUGUGUAUUUUGUGCAAGAAAAUGCAAUAAAAUAGUCCGCCUAAGAAAAAUUGAAUUAUAUUGGGAACUUUUUUAUAAUUUUGGUUUUUUUGGUAAAAUGACUUUUAGGUGGUAAUAGGUGUCUUCCUCUACUCGUAUUUGGCUGUCAAUUUUUUUCUACACUUUUAUGUGUAUUUUGUGCAAGAAAAUGCAAUAAAAUAGUCCGCCUAAGAAAAAUUGAAUUAUAUUGGGAACUUUUUUAUAAUUUUGGUUUUUUUGGUAAAAUGACUUUUAGGUGGUAAUAGGUGUCUUCCUCUACUCGUAUUUGGCUGUCAAUUUUUUUCUACACUUUUAGGUGUAUUUUGUGCAAGAAAAUGCAAUAAAAUAGUCCGCCUAAGAAAAAUUGAAUUAUAUUGGGAACUUUUUUUUAAUUUUGGUUUUUUUGGUAAAAUGACUUUUAGGUGGUAAUAGGUGUCUUCCUCUACUCGUAUUUGGCUGUCAAUUUUUUUCUACACUUUUAGGUGUAUUUUGUGCAAGAAAAUGCAAUAAAAUAGUCCGCCUAAGAAAAAUUGAGUUAUAUUGGGAACUUUUUUAUAAUUUUGGUUUUUUUGGUAAAA